CCUACGGGAGGCAGCAGUGAGGAAUAUUGGUCAAUGGACGAGAGUCUGAACCAGCCAAGUAGCGUGAAGGAUGACUGUCCUAUGGGUUGUAAACUUCUUUUAUAUGGGAAUAAAAUGUUCCACGUGUGGGCUUUUGUAUGUACCCUAUGAAUUAGGAUCGGCUAACUCCGGUCCAGCCGGCGGGGUAAUACGGAGGUUCCGCGCGUUACUCGGAUUUAUUGGGUUUUAAGGGAGCGUAGGUGGAUUGUUAAGUCAGUUGUGAAAGUUUGCGGCUCAAACGUAAAAUUGCAGUUGAAACUGGCAGUCUUGAGUGCAGUAGAGGUGGGCGGAAUGCGUGGUGUAGCGGUGAAAUGCUUAGAUAUCACGAAGAACUCCGAUUGCGAAGGCAGCUCACUGGACUGCAACUGACACUGAGGCUCGAAAGUGUGGGUAUCAAACAGGAUUAGAUACCCCAGUAGUC
RNAcentral lists this ribosomal RNA (460 nucleotides) under uncultured bacterium. RNAcentral describes it as "partial 16S ribosomal RNA". It matches the Rfam family "Bacterial small subunit ribosomal RNA", at positions 338 to 795 of the family's 1533-position model. The record is from RNAcentral.